This is a non-coding RNA of Populus trichocarpa (black cottonwood), 278 nucleotides long. NCBI's taxonomy places the organism in Eukaryota, Viridiplantae, Streptophyta, Magnoliopsida, Malpighiales, Salicaceae. The record is from Rfam.
CUGACAUGUGUGUGAGUCAACAAACGAGUAAACUUGUAAGGCUCAUUGAAGCUGACUGCCAGGAUCCCUUUGAGGGUUGCACUGCUGACCGACCUUGAUCUUAUGAGAAAGGUUCAAGUGAGAGUAUGCCUAUUGGGACUUGAAAGAUGGUGAAUUAUGCCUAAGCAGGGCGAAUCCAGAGGAAACUCUGGUGGAGGCUUGCAAGGAUACUGACGUGCAAAUCAUUCGUCUGACUUGGGUAUAGGGGCGAAAGACUAAUCAAAUCGUCUAGUAGUUGG